This 269-nucleotide unclassified non-coding RNA is filed under the name Hevea brasiliensis (rubber tree). Lineage: Eukaryota; Viridiplantae; Streptophyta; Magnoliopsida; Malpighiales; Euphorbiaceae. The record is from RNAcentral.
GGAAGACAAAAAGCCUGUGAGGGUUUCAAUUUCUUUAAAUAGCUUAUAUUUGUAUACACUAUAACUUAAACAUGGAUAUCUGUUCAUGCUAAAACAAAGAAGACUAAUAAAAACUCGAGAAAUGCAAAAAUCAAAUCAACAACACAAGAUAUACAACAAAAUUUUCAAAAAUUGAAGAGAUAUACAAAUGAUAUUUGUGUGCUAGCUAGAUGAGGUCUCUAAUCUUGUUUUACCUUGCAUCUAACAUUGUAACUGUGACUUGGUUUACU